UCCCAGUCUUACUGAAUGAUUUUCUUUAAUG
This 31-nucleotide non-coding RNA is filed under the name Mus musculus (house mouse). Lineage: Eukaryota; Metazoa; Chordata; Mammalia; Rodentia; Muridae. The record is from RNAcentral.